CUACGGGAGGCAGCAGUAGGGAAUCUUCGGCAAUGGACGAAAGUCUGACCGAGCAACGCCGCGUGAGUGAAGAAGGUUUUCGGAUCGUAAAACUCUGUUGUUAGAGAAGAACAAGGAUGAGAGUAACUGUUCAUCCCUUGACGGUAUCUAACCAGAAAGCCACGGCUAACUA
RNAcentral lists this ribosomal RNA (172 nucleotides) under uncultured Gram-positive bacterium. Its description in RNAcentral is "partial 16S ribosomal RNA". It matches the Rfam family "Bacterial small subunit ribosomal RNA", at positions 339 to 503 of the family's 1533-position model. The record is from RNAcentral.